This is a non-coding RNA of Podarcis lilfordi (Lilford's wall lizard), 72 nucleotides long. The record is from the annotation of a GenBank genome assembly. Lineage: Eukaryota; Metazoa; Chordata; Lepidosauria; Squamata; Lacertidae.
GCAUACUUGGCUCUGUGGUUCAGCACCUGCUUGGCACGCAGAAGGUCCUGGGUUCAAUCCCUGGCAGCAUCA